GGACCCGCACAAGCGGUGGAGUAUGUGGCUUAAUUCGAUGCAACGCGAAGAACCUUACCUAGGCUUGACAUGUAUUGCUAAGCACGUGAAAGCGUGUGACUCUUCGGAGACCUUACACAGGUGCUGCAUGGCCGUCGUCAGCUCGUGUCGUGAGAUGUUUGGUUAAGUCCAGCAACGAGCGCAACCCCUGUGGAUAGUUGCCAGCACGUAAUGGUGGGGACUCUAUCCAGACUGCCCAGGUCAACUGGGAGGAAGGUGGGGAUGACGUCAGGUCAGUAUGGCCCUUACGCCUAGGGCUGCACACGUACUACAAUGCCCAGUACAAUGAGAACCGAGACCGCGAGGUGGAGGAAAUCUGCAAAACUGGGCCCAGUUCGGAUUGGAGGCUGCAACUCGCCUGCAUGAAGUUGGAAUC
This 415-nucleotide ribosomal RNA is filed under the name uncultured bacterium. Its description in RNAcentral is "bacterial SSU rRNA". It matches the Rfam family "Bacterial small subunit ribosomal RNA", at positions 917 to 1333 of the family's 1533-position model. The record is from RNAcentral.